UACGUAGGGUGCAAGCGUUGUCCGGAAUUAUUGGGCGUAAAGAGCUCGUAGGUGGCGUGUCGCGUCUGCCGUGAAAGCCCAUGGCUUAACUGUGGGUCUGCGGUGGAUACGGGCAGGCUGGAGGCUGGUAGGGGCAAGCGGAAUUCCUGGUGUAGCGGUGAAAUGCGCAGAUAUCAGGAGGAACACCGGUGGCGAAGGCGGCUUGCUGGGGCCAGUUCUGACGCUGAGGAGCGAAAGCGUGGGGGAGCGAACAGG
This 255-nucleotide ribosomal RNA is filed under the name uncultured bacterium. Its description in RNAcentral is "partial 16S ribosomal RNA". It matches the Rfam family "Bacterial small subunit ribosomal RNA", at positions 524 to 776 of the family's 1533-position model. The record is from RNAcentral.